Long non-coding RNA from Suricata suricatta (meerkat), 1030 nucleotides. RefSeq lists it as uncharacterized. The transcript is spliced from 3 exons. NCBI's taxonomy places the organism in Eukaryota, Metazoa, Chordata, Mammalia, Carnivora, Herpestidae. The record is from RefSeq and is a predicted model, not a curated record.
CCGUGCCUCUCAGUGACAGAAACGGGAAGCCAACCGCUUCCUGAGGCUGCUGUCCACAAACUCCUGUUUAUCUGAACGCACAUCCUCCCAGGCCCGAGGUGACGCAUUGAGCUCUCCCUCCGACAGGAGGUGCCUCCCUGGUCACACAGCUCGGUGGAGCCAGGUGAACGCUGCACAUGCGAGUGUAUCUACGUGUGCGCUGGUUGCACACCCAGCCUUUCCGCCAUGUCUCUGCAUCUCUCUGCGGGAGCAUGGCCAUCCUGGGACAUUCCCCAUGAUCCUCCGCCCACAGGCCCUCACCUCGCUUCAGUGUCCCGUCUCUGCAGAAGAAUCGGCAAGCAGGAAGCUGAAGUGCUGAACUGUUACACCAGGACCUUCCCUGACUUCCUCCUUCUGGACGGAGCAGAUGGUGAACCUCAGCUCUGAGCGGCCGUGGGGCCCACUGGAGAGACGUGCUCACUAUGGGAGGCCCAUGGGCCCACCAAGACCAAGACCCUCUCACCUGCGGAGGGGCCGAGGUUCUGCUCCCCAGCCUCCAGCCUCCCCUGCACCCUCAGGACCCUCUCCUUGGCCCCUCCAGGAGCCAGCGCAGCCCCUGGGAUGGGAGUUUGUGCCGUUCUGUGCCAAAGGUGCUAACGUUUAAAAUCCUGCAUUUCCAGCCACUUUGUCAACUGUGAGAAUAACUGUAUGCUGCUGUACCGGGGCGUGGUGCCCAGGCCUGCCCUCAACCUGGGGGGCACUGCAGAGGCCCCGCUCAGGGUGCCCAAAGAGGACUGGCUCGAACCACAUGUCCUGACUUCGGUCCCUCAGCCUUGAACUGGGCCAACGGCAGCUCCUUCACGCACCUGGGUGCAGGGUGCGUGGGCAGGACCCACACCCCCUGGGACAGCUGCCCCCCAACCUGGGCGGUGCUGCCCGCAGCUGGCCCUGCCACUCCCCCACACAAGGGAGAAGAGAAAGGUCAGCAGGAGGGUCCAGACCAGGCUUAGUGGAAGAUCCCUUUUUCUGAUAAAUCCCCUGGUGACUUGCA